This 333-nucleotide ribosomal RNA is filed under the name Triticum aestivum (bread wheat). RNAcentral describes it as "partial small subunit ribosomal RNA". Lineage: Eukaryota; Viridiplantae; Streptophyta; Magnoliopsida; Poales; Poaceae. The record is from RNAcentral.
AUGGAGCACGCGCAGGACGAGCUCAGCCUCGAGCUCACCCUGGCCACCGCGGUCGUGGCUCCGGCUCCCGGCUUCUUCCUAUGCGUCUACUGCCGCCGCAAGUUCCGCAGCUCGCAGGCCCUCGGCGGCCACCAGAACGCACACAAGCAAGAACGCGCCGCUAAGCGCCUCCGGGAGACUGCGGUCGCCACCACGCAUGCUUGGAAUCCGGGGAGGGCUGCCGGCGCUGUUUGGGUGUCCGAGGAGUCAGCAGCAGCAGGUGGCAUGGCGUACAAGCGCAGCAGGAUCUCGUGGGAGCGCGAUCACGAGCUGGACUUGUCCCUCCGGCUAUAG